GACGAACCGUGCGAACGUUAUUCGGAAUCACUGGGCUUAAAGCGCGUGUAGGCGGGUCGGCACGUCGGUCGCUGAAAUCCCCCGGCUCAACCGGGGAAGGGGCGCCGAUACGGCCGGCCUGGAGGGACGUAGGGGGGGGCUGGAACUUCCGGUGGAGCGGUGAAAUGCGUUGAGAUCGGAAGGAACGCCCGUGGCGAAAGCGACUUCCUGGACCAAUACUGACGCUCAUGUGCGAAAGCGUGGGGAGCAAACAGG
This 255-nucleotide ribosomal RNA is filed under the name uncultured bacterium. RNAcentral's name for it is "partial 16S ribosomal RNA". It matches the Rfam family "Bacterial small subunit ribosomal RNA", at positions 524 to 776 of the family's 1533-position model. The record is from RNAcentral.